This 478-nucleotide ribosomal RNA is filed under the name uncultured bacterium. RNAcentral describes it as "bacterial SSU rRNA". It matches the Rfam family "Bacterial small subunit ribosomal RNA", at positions 11 to 535 of the family's 1533-position model. The record is from RNAcentral.
GUUUGAUCCUGGCUCAGAACGAACGCUGGCGGCAGGCCUAACACAUGCAAGUCGAACGAACCCUUCGGGGUGAGUGGCGCACGGGUGCGUAACACGUGGGNAUAUACACAUAGGUAAGGAACAACACAGAGAAAUUUGUGCUAAUACCUUAUAAUAACUCCGGUUCAAAGAUUUAUCGCCUAUGGAUUAGCCCGCGCUAGAUUAGUUUGUUGGAGAGGUAAGNGCUCACCAAGACUACGAUCUAUAGCUGGUCUUAGAGGAUGAUCAGCCACACUGGAACUGAGACACGGUCCAGNCUCCUACGGGAGGCAGCAGUGAGGAAUAUUGCGCAAUGGAGGAAACUCUGACGCAGCCAUGCCGCGUGAAUGAAGAAGGCCCUAGGGUUGUAAAAUUCUUUCAGAUGCGAAGAUAAUGACGGUACCAUCAGAAGAAGCUCCGGCUAAAUUCGUGCCAGCAGCCGCGGUAAUAAGGGCGAAUU